Molecule: transfer RNA, 95 nt
Filed under: Poronia punctata
Lineage: Eukaryota; Fungi; Ascomycota; Sordariomycetes; Xylariales; Xylariaceae
Description: tRNA-Phe
Rfam family: tRNA
About the family: Transfer RNA (tRNA) molecules are approximately 80 nucleotides in length. Their secondary structure includes four short double-helical elements and three loops (D, anti-codon, and T loops).
Source: RNAcentral
GCGGGGAUAGCUCAGUUGGGAGAGCGUCAGACUGAAGUUAAACUUCAAUCUUAUCAUUAAUCUGAAGGUCGUGCGUUCGAUCCGCACUCACCGCA